Molecule: transfer RNA, 59 nt
Filed under: Loxodonta africana (African savanna elephant)
Lineage: Eukaryota; Metazoa; Chordata; Mammalia; Proboscidea; Elephantidae
Rfam family: tRNA
About the family: Transfer RNA (tRNA) molecules are approximately 80 nucleotides in length. Their secondary structure includes four short double-helical elements and three loops (D, anti-codon, and T loops).
Source: Rfam by way of RNAcentral
AAUGGUUAAGCACUCAGCUGCUAACUGAAAGGUUGGUGGUUCAAAUCCACCAGCCAUUC